This 224-nucleotide ribosomal RNA is filed under the name Klebsiella pneumoniae. RNAcentral's name for it is "partial 23S ribosomal RNA". It matches the Rfam family "Bacterial large subunit ribosomal RNA", at positions 1 to 232 of the family's 2925-position model. Lineage: Bacteria; Pseudomonadati; Pseudomonadota; Gammaproteobacteria; Enterobacterales; Enterobacteriaceae. The record is from RNAcentral.
CGACUAAGCGUACACGGUGGAUGCCCUGGCAGUCAGAGGCGAUGAAGGACGUGCUAAUCUGCGAAAAGCGUCGGUAAGGUGAUAUGAACCUUUAUAGCCGGCGAUGUCCGAAUGGGGAAACCCAGUGCAAUUCGUUGCACUUUCGUUAACUGAUUCCCUAGGUUAACGAUGCGAACCGGGUGGACUGAAACAUCUAAGUACCCCGAGGAAAAGAAAUCAACCGA